GCACAACGCGAAGAACCUUACCUACUCUUGACAUCUACGGAAGACUGCAGAGAUGCGGUUGUGCCUUCGGGGAGCCGUAAGACAGGUGCUGCAUGGCUGUCGUCAGCUCGUGUUGUGAAAUGUUGGGUUAAGUCCCGCAACGAGCGCAACCCUUGCCAUUAGUUGCUACGAAAGGGCACUCUAAUGGGACUGCCGGUGACAAACCGGAGGAAGGUGGGGAUGACGUCAAGUCCUCAUGGCCCUUACGAGUAGGGCUACACACGUGCUACAAUGGUACGUACAGAGGGAGGCAAGCUGGCGACAGUGAGCGGAUCUCUUAAAGCGUAUCGUAGUCCGGAUCGCAGUCUGCAACUCGACUGCGUGAAGUCGGAAUCGCUAGUAAUCGCGAAUCAGAAUGUCGCGGUGAAUACGUUCCCGGGUCUUGUACACACCG
Molecule: ribosomal RNA, 433 nt
Filed under: uncultured bacterium
Lineage: Bacteria
Description: bacterial SSU rRNA
Rfam family: Bacterial small subunit ribosomal RNA
Source: RNAcentral